Molecule: ribosomal RNA, 199 nt
Filed under: Vibrio sp.
Lineage: Bacteria; Pseudomonadati; Pseudomonadota; Gammaproteobacteria; Vibrionales; Vibrionaceae
Description: 16S ribosomal RNA
Rfam family: Bacterial small subunit ribosomal RNA
Source: RNAcentral
ACUCCUACGGGAGGCAGCAGUGGGGAAUAUUGCACAAUGGGCGCAAGCCUGAUGCAGCCAUGCCGCGUGUAUGAAGAAGGCCUUCGGGUUGUAAAGUACUUUCAGCAGUGAGGAAGGUGGNURCGUUAAUAGCGUACUCRUUUGACGUUAGCUGCAGAAGAAGCACCGGCUAACUCCGUGCCAGCAGCCGCGGUAAUAC